RNAcentral lists this small nucleolar RNA (57 nucleotides) under Aeropyrum pernix K1. Its description in RNAcentral is "APEsR19". Lineage: Archaea; Thermoproteati; Thermoproteota; Thermoprotei; Acidilobales; Acidilobaceae. The record is from RNAcentral.
AUGCUGAACUAUCAAUACACUAGAUAACGUGGGGAUGACGAGGCGGGCAGCCUUUGA